Molecule: ribosomal RNA, 800 nt
Filed under: uncultured bacterium
Lineage: Bacteria
Description: bacterial SSU rRNA
Rfam family: Bacterial small subunit ribosomal RNA
Source: RNAcentral
AGAGUUUGAUCCUGGCUCAGGAUGAACGCUGGCGGCGUGCCUAAUACAUGCAAGUCGAGCGGAUGGAUUAAGAGCUUGCUCUUAUGAAGUUAGCGGCGGACGGGUGAGUAACACGUGGGUAACCUGCCCAUAAGACUGGGAUAACUCCGGGAAACCGGGGCUAAUACCGGAUAAUAUUUUGAACCGCAUGGUUCGAAAUUGAAAGGCGGCUUCGGCUGUCACUUAUGGAUGGACCCGCGUCGCAUUAGCUAGUUGGUGAGGUAACGGCUCACCAAGGCAACGAUGCGUAGCCGACCUGAGAGGGUGAUCGGCCACACUGGGACUGAGACACGGCCCAGACUCCUACGGGAGGCGGCAGUAGGGAAUCUUCCGCAAUGGACGAAAGUCUGACGGAGCAACGCCGCGUGAGUGAUGAAGGCUUUCGGGUCGUAAAACUCUGUUGUUAGGGAAGAACAAGUGCUAGUUGAAUAAGCUGGCACCUUGACGGUACCUAACCAGAAAGCCACGGCUAACUACGUGCCAGUAGCCGCGGUAAUACGUAGGUGGCAAGCGUUAUCCGGAAUUAUUGGGCGUAAAGCGCGCGCAGGUGGUUUCUUAAGUCUGAUGUGAAAGCCCACGGCUCAACCGUGGAGGGUCAUUGGAAACUGGGAGACUUGAGUGCAGAAGAGGAAAGUGGAAUUCCAUGUGUAGCGGUGAAAUGCGUAGAGAUAUGGAGGAACACCAGUGGCGAAGGCGACUUUCUGGUCUGUAACUGACACUGAGGCGCGAAAGCGUGGGGAGCAAACAGGAUUAGAUACCCU